Molecule: signal recognition particle RNA, 97 nt
Filed under: Pseudomonadaceae bacterium
Lineage: Bacteria; Pseudomonadati; Pseudomonadota; Gammaproteobacteria; Pseudomonadales; Pseudomonadaceae
Description: signal recognition particle sRNA small type
Rfam family: Bacterial small signal recognition particle RNA
About the family: The signal recognition particle (SRP) is a universally conserved ribonucleoprotein involved in the co-translational targeting of proteins to membranes. Archaeal SRP consists of a 7S RNA and homologues of the eukaryotic SRP19 and SRP54 proteins.
Source: RNAcentral
UAUUGGUGCUCUCGCAACACAAAAUCACAAACCCCGCCAGGCCCGGAAGGGAGCAACGGUAGUGAUCUAUGUGUGUGCCGAGAUGUUGCUGAUAGGG